Molecule: ribosomal RNA, 264 nt
Filed under: uncultured Streptococcaceae bacterium
Lineage: Bacteria; Bacillati; Bacillota; Bacilli; Lactobacillales; Streptococcaceae
Description: partial 16S ribosomal RNA
Rfam family: Bacterial small subunit ribosomal RNA
Source: RNAcentral
GUGCCAGCCGCCGCGGUAAUACGUAGGUCCCGAGCGUUGUCCGGAUUUAUUGGGCGUAAAGCGAGCGCAGGCGGUUAGAUAAGUCUGAAGUUAAAGGCUGUGGCUUAACCAUAGUACGCUUUGGAAACUGUUUAACUUGAGUGCAAGAGGGGAGAGUGGAAUUCCAUGUGUAGCGGUGAAAUGCGUAGAUAUAUGGAGGAACACCGGUGGCGAAAGCGGCUCUCUGGCUUGUAACUGACGCUGAGGCUCGAAAGCGUGGGGAGC